GAUGAACGCUGGCGGCGUGCCUAAUACAUGCAAGUCGAGCGAACGGACGAGAAGCUUGCUUCUCUGAUGUUAGCGGCGGACGGGUGAGUAACACGUGGAUAACCUACCUAUAAGACUGGGAUAAAUUCGGGAAACCGGAGCUAAUACCGGAUAAUAUUUUGAACCGCAUGGUUCAAAAGUGAAAGACGGUCUUGCUGUCACUUAUAGAUGGAUCCGCGCUGCAUUAGCUAGUUGGUAAGGUAACGGCUUACCAAGGCAACGAUGCAUAGCAGACCUGAGAGGGUGAUCGGCCACACUGGAACUGAGACACGGUCCAGACUCCUACGGGAGGCAGCAGUAGGGAAUCUUCCGCAAUGGGCGAAAGCCUGACUGAGCAACGCCGCGUGAGUGAUGAAGUUCUUCGGAUCGUAAAACUCUGUUAUUAGGGAAGAACAUAUGUGUAAGUAACUGUGCACAUCUUGACGGUACCUAAUCAGAAAGCCACGGCUAACUACGUG
RNAcentral lists this ribosomal RNA (497 nucleotides) under uncultured bacterium. RNAcentral's name for it is "partial 16S ribosomal RNA". It matches the Rfam family "Bacterial small subunit ribosomal RNA", at positions 28 to 507 of the family's 1533-position model. The record is from RNAcentral.